This 545-nucleotide ribosomal RNA is filed under the name Staphylococcus equorum. RNAcentral's name for it is "bacterial SSU rRNA". It matches the Rfam family "Bacterial small subunit ribosomal RNA", at positions 991 to 1533 of the family's 1533-position model. Lineage: Bacteria; Bacillati; Bacillota; Bacilli; Caryophanales; Staphylococcaceae. The record is from RNAcentral.
UUGAAAACUCUAGAGAUAGAGCCUUCCCCUUCGGGGGACAAAGUGACAGGUGGUGCAUGGUUGUCGUCAGCUCGUGUCGUGAGAUGUUGGGUUAAGUCCCGCAACGAGCGCAACCCUUAAACUUAGUUGCCAGCAUUUAGUUGGGCACUCUAGGUUGACUGCCGGUGACAAACCGGAGGAAGGUGGGGAUGACGUCAAAUCAUCAUGCCCCUUAUGAUUUGGGCUACACACGUGCUACAAUGGACAAUACAAAGGGCAGCUAAACCGCGAGGUCAUGCAAAUCCCAUAAAGUUGUUCUCAGUUCGGAUUGUAGUCUGCAACUCGACUACAUGAAGCUGGAAUCGCUAGUAAUCGUAGAUCAGCAUGCUACGGUGAAUACGUUCCCGGGUCUUGUACACACCGCCCGUCACACCACGAGAGUUUGUAACACCCGAAGCCGGUGGAGUAACCAUUUAUGGAGCUAGCCGUCGAAGGUGGGACAAAUGAUUGGGGUGAAGUCGUAACAAGGUAGCCGUAUCGGAAGGUGCGGCUGGAUCACCUCCUUU